AUUGAACGCUGGCGGCAUGCCUUACACAUGCAAGUCGAACGGCAGCACGGGUGCUUGCACCUGGUGGCGAGUGGCGAACGGGUGAGUAAUACAUCGGAACGUACCUUAUCGUGGGGGAUAACGCAGCGAAAGUUGCGCUAAUACCGCAUACGCCCUGAGGGGGAAAGCGGGGGACCGUAAGGCCUCGCGCGAUUAGAGCGGCCGAUGUCUGAUUAGCUUGUUGGUGAGGUAAAAGCUCAACAAGGCGAUGAUCAGUAGCUGGUCUGAAAGGACGAUGAGCCAAACUGGGACUGAGAAACGGCCCAGACUCGUACGGGAGGCAGCAGUGGGGAAUUUUGGACAAUGGGGGCAACCCUGAUCCAGCAAUGCCGCGUGAGUGAAGAAGGCCUUCGGGUUGUAAAGCUCUUUUGUCAGGGAAGAAACAGCAGCUCUAACACAGUCUGCGAAUGACGGUACCUGAAGAAUAAGCACCGGCUAACUACGUGCCAGCCGCCGCCGUAA
RNAcentral lists this ribosomal RNA (501 nucleotides) under uncultured bacterium. RNAcentral describes it as "partial 16S ribosomal RNA". It matches the Rfam family "Bacterial small subunit ribosomal RNA", at positions 30 to 523 of the family's 1533-position model. The record is from RNAcentral.